RNAcentral lists this small RNA (904 nucleotides) under Histoplasma ohiense. RNAcentral's name for it is "hypothetical lncRNA". Lineage: Eukaryota; Fungi; Ascomycota; Eurotiomycetes; Onygenales; Ajellomycetaceae. The record is from RNAcentral.
CUACUUCGCGCGUGCCUGACAUUAAAUCUCCUAUCAUUUGAAGCUUUCGACAACACGAUCCCCGUCCUUGGACAAAUUAAGCGCCUCAUUGAACGCAAAAUCAGGUUUGGGUAAUUAAGAUACCUUAAUCCGAAUCACAGCAGGACAAAACUGACGCACUCCACCAUCCACGUCUCGUGUGGUGAACUGCCACGUUGCCUAUAUCGCUUUCAUACUGACAGGUUUGGGAGCCGGACUCGCAGAUGAAAUGACAAUGACCUUCAAACUGAAUGAGAUUUAUGGAUGCGCUUUAAAGUUCCUCAGCUUAUCUGUAAUAUGAGCGGAAGAACUUAAAUAAAAUAGGACGCUUUGUCUGCUACAAAGCAGUAGUUCAAUGCGACGAUCUUUUCCCCUUCUCUCAUACUAGACUGCGGAUCCCGUUUCGUUGUGGAAAUUUUUAAGGGACCAGAAUCUUUCAUUUGAGCCCACAUAUUGACAUUUUCAUCCUAUCAACCUUCCGUUGAUCUCAUACGUCAUUGUCAUCUUCUGGUUGGAUGCCAACGACAGCACACAUAGCCCAGCUGCAGCUCAUGAAUUUCGACCUGCGGCCACCGAAGUACGUCAUACGGCUGAUUCGGGACUGUUGGCUCUAGAAUUCUCUAGAUUCGGGACGCUGAUGGCUCGCUUUCUCACGAGGCAACAACUAAAAUGACCAAACUUACAGUUGGACAACUCUCAUCUUGAUGAAAACCCCUGUCUAUUGGCCUCGAGGAAGAAAUAUUCUGGCUGGUUCCCACUCCCUGGUAGAAGUCCGCAAGAAGUUUUGGCAGUAUAGAGGCUAGCUUGCUGCUCUUUCAAAGCGUGGCAAACUGAAGUUGGGAUGUGGAGUUGUGAACAGAUCAAUAAGGGGUUAAGAGAGCAUGGA